UGGGGAAUAUUGCACAAUGGGCGCAAGCCUGAUGCAGCCAUGCCGCGUGUAUGAAGAAGGCCUUCGGGUUGUAAAGUACUUUCAGUCGGGAGGAAGGUGGUAAGGUUAAUAACCUUGGCAAUUGACGUUACCGACAGAAGAAGCACCGGCUAACUCCGUGCCAGCAGCCGCGGUAAUACGGAGGGUGCAAGCGUUAAUCGGAAUUACUGGGCGUAAAGCGCACGCAGGCGGUUGAUUGAGUCAGAUGUGAAAUCCCCGGGCUUAACCCGGGAAUUGCAUCUGAUACUGGUCAGCUAGAGUCUUGUAGAGGGGGGUAGAAUUCCAUGUGUAGCGGUGAAAUGCGUAGAGAUGUGGAAGAAUACCGGUGGCGAAGGCGGCCCCCUGGACAAAGACUGACGCUCAGGUGCGAAAGCGUGGGGAGCAAACAGG
RNAcentral lists this ribosomal RNA (429 nucleotides) under Chloroflexota bacterium. RNAcentral's name for it is "Chloroflexi bacterium partial 16S ribosomal RNA". It matches the Rfam family "Bacterial small subunit ribosomal RNA", at positions 355 to 776 of the family's 1533-position model. Lineage: Bacteria; Bacillati; Chloroflexota. The record is from RNAcentral.